RNAcentral lists this transfer RNA (76 nucleotides) under Bacillota bacterium. RNAcentral describes it as "Firmicutes bacterium (subsurface metagenome) tRNA-Phe". It matches the Rfam family "tRNA". Rfam says of the family: Transfer RNA (tRNA) molecules are approximately 80 nucleotides in length. Their secondary structure includes four short double-helical elements and three loops (D, anti-codon, and T loops). RNAcentral also lists the same sequence under 3 other names. The record is from RNAcentral. Lineage: Bacteria; Bacillati; Bacillota.
GCCCAGGUAGCUCAGAUGGUAGAGCAGAGGACUGAAAAUCCUCGUGUCGGUGGUUCGAUUCCGCCCCUGGGCACCA